Clarias gariepinus (North African catfish) is the source of this 1290-nucleotide long non-coding RNA. RefSeq lists it as uncharacterized. NCBI's taxonomy places the organism in Eukaryota, Metazoa, Chordata, Actinopteri, Siluriformes, Clariidae. The transcript is spliced from 3 exons. The record is from RefSeq and is a predicted model, not a curated record.
CCUUUCUAUGGACGCCGCGCGCGCGCUCCCUGCGCUGGGGGAGGAGGAACACAUCCCGACGGGGGAACAAACCUCGACACAGGCGCAGUUAUCGUUAAACCAUUAAAUCGCACGACUUCUCUCCAAACACUCCGGUCUUUUGCUCAACAAUGAUUUGUCUCAGUGCCAAGUGACCCACAUCAAAUGAUGACCUUCUUCUCUGUGGCAUACAUUUUAAACAUGCUGUGAUAAACAUCGGGAAGAACAAACACAGCUUUUUAAAUGAUGAGCUUUCCAGAGCAUCAAAGCUACACCAAUUUUAAAAAGGCAGAUUUCCUGGCCCCAUGACUGAUCAGCCGUAACAUUAAAACACCUGACAGGAGAAGUGAAUGACAUUAAUUAUCCAUUACAGCGAGACGUGUCAAGGGUGGGACUUAUUAGACAAGAAGUGAAUAUUUUGUCCUUGAAGUUGAUGUGUUGAAAGCAAAAAAAAUAAAAAUGGGCAAGCGGAAGGAUCUGAGCGACUUCGACAAGGGCCAAAUUGUAAUGGCUAGACGUCUGGGUCAGAGCAACUCCCAAACUGCAGCUCUUGUGGGAUGUUCCCGGUCUGCAGUGGUCAGGACAUACCAAAAGUGGUGCAAGGAAGGACAACCGGUGAACCGGCGACAGGGUCAUGGACGGCCAAGGCUCAUCGAUUCGUGUGCAGAGCAAAAGUUGGCGCAUCUGGUAGAGUCCUACAGAAGAGCUACUGUAGCACAAAUUGCUGAAAAAGUUAACGCUGACCAUGAUAAAAAGGUCUCCGAACACACAGUGCAUCGUAGCUUGCUGCGCAUGGGGUUGCGUAGACGCAGAGCGGUCAGAGAUCCCUUGCUGACCCCUGUACAGAACCGAAAGCAGCUACAAUUUGCAAUGGAGCAAUGGAUGAAGGUGGAAGGGUUGGAAACUGUCUUGAAGGCGCUCCAUUAAACAUUUACAAUACUGUAAAGAUUCAAAUUUAUUGGGGAUGGCCUUACAACCCUUAGGACAGAAAAAGUUGGUUUUUGUUGGUCAUGGAAUGGCAUUUCAUUGGUUAAGAUGUUGGACUAUGGAGCAGAAGGUCACAGGUUUAAAAUCCAGCACCACAAAACUACCCCUUCUGGGCCCUUGAGCAAGGCCCUUAAACCUCAACUGCUCAGAUGUAUAAUGAGAUAAAUGUAGGUCGCUUUGAAAAUGUAUAAAUGUAAAUGAUAUUUUGAAACACCUGACUGAUAAUUACUCUCAUACAAAUAACUACAUAUUGAAAUAUUGUUUUUUUGUUUUUUUUCAUUACCU